AUCUUUGCGCUUGGGGCAAUGACGCAGCUUGUGAGGUACUAACCGAGGCGCGUCAAUUGCUGGUUGAAAACUAUUUCCAAACCCCCUCUUCGGCCUGGGUUCACAUCCCUGGCCGUCGAGAAUUUCUGGAAGGGCCCCCUCUAACCCAGGGUUAAAGCC
Molecule: small nuclear RNA, 159 nt
Organism: Diospyros lotus (date-plum)
Lineage: Eukaryota; Viridiplantae; Streptophyta; Magnoliopsida; Ericales; Ebenaceae
Product: U4 spliceosomal RNA
Exons: 1
Source: RefSeq, a predicted model, not a curated record